This 423-nucleotide ribosomal RNA is filed under the name uncultured archaeon. RNAcentral's name for it is "partial 16S ribosomal RNA". It matches the Rfam family "Archaeal small subunit ribosomal RNA", at positions 323 to 746 of the family's 1478-position model. The record is from RNAcentral.
CUACGGGUUGCUCCAGUCGGGUAACUUUUGCAAUGCGCGCAAGCGUGACAAAGCAAGCCAGAGUGUUUCUCUUAUUAGAGAAACUUUUAUCUGCUGUAAAAAGGCAGAUGAAUAAGGACUGGGAAAGACCGGUGCCAGCCGCCGCGGUAAUACCGGCGGUCCGAGUCGCAACCAUAUUUAUUGGGUCUAAAACAUCCGUAGCUUGUUCUGCAAGUCUCUUGUGAAAUCUUAUAUCUCAAGUAUAGGGUGUGCAAGAGAUACUACAUUACUAGAGACUGGAAGACGUAGCGAGUACAAUUGAGGUAAUGGUUAAAUAUGUUAAUCUUGAUUGGACUAACAAUGGCGAAGGCACGCUACGAGGACAGUUCUGACAGUGAGGGAUGAAGGCUAGGGGCGCAAAAUGGAUUAGAUACCCUCGUAGUC